AUUGAUGGAUUCCACUUGGAGACAUAGAUCAUUGCCGCUUGUAAUUGGGUGAAGGGUGGAGCGAUGCUCGAGGGGUAGAGGAUGUAGGUUAGGAUUUCAAAAAAGAGCGGAAAGGAGUGGGGGUAGCACUUUUAUUUUUUCUUCUUUGAGCUGAGGUGGCAGAAUGGCCACAUGGUGAAAAUGGACAAGUCUGCUAUAUCAUUGAAGUGGU
This 211-nucleotide long non-coding RNA is filed under the name Elaeis guineensis (African oil palm). Its description in RNAcentral is "long non-coding RNA (EGUI_LNC001233)". The record is from RNAcentral. Lineage: Eukaryota; Viridiplantae; Streptophyta; Magnoliopsida; Arecales; Arecaceae.